UAGUCUACGCCGUAAACGAUGGUUACUAGCUGUUUGGACCAAUUGAGGUCUGAGUGGCUAAGCGAAAGUGAUAAGUAACCCACCUGGGGAGUACGUUCGCAAGAAUGAAACUCAAAGGAAUUGACGGGGGCCCGCACAAGCGGUGGAGCAUGUGGUUUAAUUCGAUGAUACGCGAGGAACCUUACCAGGGCUUAAAUGUAGUCUGACAGGGGUGGAAACACCCCUUCUUCGGACAGAUUACAAGGUGCUGCAUGGUUGUCGUCAGCUCGUGCCGUGAGGUGUCAGGUUAAGUCCUAUAACGAGCGCAACCCCUGUUGUUAGUUGCCAGCGAGUAAUGUCGGGAACUCUAACAAGACUGCCGGUGCAAACCGUGAGGAAGGUGGGGAUGACGUCAAAUCAUCACGGCCCUUACGUCCUGGGGCCACACACGUGCUACAAUGGUAGGGGACAGAGAGCAGCCACACGCGAGUGGGGAGCGAAUCUACAAACCCUAUCACAGUUCGGGAUCGGGAGUCUGCAAC
RNAcentral lists this ribosomal RNA (521 nucleotides) under uncultured bacterium. Its description in RNAcentral is "bacterial SSU rRNA". It matches the Rfam family "Bacterial small subunit ribosomal RNA", at positions 791 to 1311 of the family's 1533-position model. The record is from RNAcentral.